UUUAAACUUUAAAAUAAAUUUAUUAGAACUUUUAAUACAAAAAAUGAAAAUUUGUACCUUUUGUAUCAGGGUUUUUUAAAAUUAUCAAAGACUUAAAAUAUCUCGAUUUUAUAGGAAUUAUUUAUUUUUUUUCUCUCUUUUAUAAUUUUAUUAAAAAAAAAAAAUAGAAAGUUAAAUAGAAACAAAACAUUUUCGGCUAUAAAAAUAUCUAGUUUUUUAAAAAUUAAAAUAAAUUUAGUAUUAAAAAAAUUUUAAUAAUUAAGCUUCAAGGGACUAACUUUUUAGCUUUAUUUAAUUUAUUCGAUUAAAACUUUUAAUUAAAGGAAUUAAAUUUUUUUACCACAAAUGUAAAAAUUAAAAUUUUUAUUAAAUAAAUUUUUAAAAGAAAUUAAUUUUUUAUUAAACAAAUUUUUUUAAUAAUUAAAAAAAUUUGAUAAUGAAAAAAUUAGUAAUUUUAAAAUAAUUUUUAAUAGGAACUAGACAUAUUAAUUUAUUCGACUGUUUAUCAAAAACAUCUCCUUAAGUUUCUUCUGCAUUUAAGGUAAAACCUGCUCAAUGGAUACUCUAAAUAGCUUAAUUUUUAAAGUAGCAUAAUCAUUUGCCUUUUAAUUGUAGGCUAGAAUGAAUGGUUAAACGUAAUAAUAAUUUUCUUUUAAGUAUUAAAUAAAAUUUACUUUUUAGUUAAAAGGCUAAAAUAACCUUUUUAGACAAGAAGACCCUAAGAUCUUUUUUUUUAUAGAUUUAGCUUAAUAUAAAUACUUUAAAAAUUUUACUGGGAUAGUAAAUAAACAAAAUUUUUAUUUUAAAACUAACCAUUUUAUGGAAUUUAAAUACAAUUUUUUAGAUAAAAUUAAGUUACCUUAGGGAUAACAGCAUAAAAUUUUUUUAGAGUUCAAAUCAAAAUCAACUUUUAUGACCUCGAUGUUGGAUUAAGGUUAAAGAUUUUUAGAAAAAAAAAAAUCUUAGGGUCUGUUCGACCUUAAUUCCUUACAUGAUCUGAGUUCAAACCGGUUUAAGCCAGGUUGGUUUCUAUCUAAAAUCUAAGAUUUUUUUUUAGUACGAAAGGACAAAAAAAAGUAAUAUAAUUU
RNAcentral lists this ribosomal RNA (1088 nucleotides) under Opimothrips tubulatus. RNAcentral describes it as "16S ribosomal RNA". Lineage: Eukaryota; Metazoa; Arthropoda; Insecta; Thysanoptera; Thripidae. The record is from RNAcentral.